RNAcentral lists this ribosomal RNA (253 nucleotides) under uncultured bacterium. RNAcentral's name for it is "partial 16S ribosomal RNA". It matches the Rfam family "Bacterial small subunit ribosomal RNA", at positions 524 to 776 of the family's 1533-position model. The record is from RNAcentral.
UACAGAGGGGGCGAGCGUUGUUCGGAAUUACUGGGCGUAAAGGGCGCGUAGGCGGCCUUCUAAGUCGAACGUGAAAUCCCCAGGCUCAACCUGGGAACUGCGUCUGAUACUGGAUGGCUUGAAUCCGGGAGAGGGAUGCAGAAUUCCAGGUGUAGCGGUGAAAUGCGUAGAUAUCUGGAGGAAUACCGGUGGCGAAGGCGGCAUCCUGGACCGGCAUUGACGCUGAGGAGCGAAAGCCAGGGGAGCAAACGGG